This is a long non-coding RNA of Episyrphus balteatus (marmalade hoverfly), 3077 nucleotides long. RefSeq lists it as uncharacterized. NCBI's taxonomy places the organism in Eukaryota, Metazoa, Arthropoda, Insecta, Diptera, Syrphidae. The record is from RefSeq and is a predicted model, not a curated record. The transcript has 5 exons.
AGUAUAUUGAAGAAAGUAUAGUUUUAUUUUUUUUUUUUAUAUUUGUUUAUUAGCUAUAGCAAAUGUUCAUAUUGCUUGCCUCCAACUGCAAUUCAAGACCUACAUAUUCUUAAAAACGAUCUGUGGAAGAAUCUGCUUGAGAUGAUGUUUGCAACAGCCUCCGUAAUUUUUUUGGCGUAGUUUUGAGUAGACUGUUUUUUGUUUUACGUGAAUAAGAUUCCAUCCGGAAAAAUUGAAUUUCCCAGUACACAUAAAUAAGGUAAUAUCUUCCUAACGUAGUCAAAAUUUUUUUGUCAAAAAUGGGCAAGAAUCUGUCAGGUCGGCCUUUAAUUUUUAUAUUUUAAUCGCAGUUAACAGAAAAUUAGUUUUUGUUUUAAUUUAUAAAAUGUCAUUUGAAAAAAUUAUAAAUUAAAAAAAUAAAAAUUUUCUUCGUGUUUCUUCUCAGAAAAUGGUCAAUAAUUGUAAAAAAAAAAAAAAUUAAUGGUGUGCGUGGUUUUUCGGUUUUUGUGCGUUUUUCCUCGGUAAUUUAAAACAAUUAAGAAUUACGGUAGCUGGCGACCAAUGUCAGUUUGGAAGAUAUUAACUUUUUAUGUGUACUGUGAUUGAAUUUAACUUUUUCCUUAUUAUGAGUUCCGAGCGAAAAAUUGUUCGCGUUCCGAUAUCUACCGGAGGUAGUCGACAGCUCUUUUCUCACUUAAAUUUUGGUGCCGAACAAGGAACUAGUUUAGCGGAAAUUCUCUUGAUGUGAAAUUCACGAUAGGUUUUUAGAUUCCGGGCGAACAAAAAUAUUCCGGGUUCCUCACAGGCUCUUUGAUAAUCGCAAUCAUCACGUGAAAUCCUAAUUUGUCUGUCUCCUCGAUGUCUUUUAACAUGAUGUGUAAAAAUGUCGUUUAAACCGUGCAUAGACAAACAGAAAAGAUGUCACGUUGUAUAAUUGGUCCAACCAGAAGUCCUUAAAUACCGCAUGAUGAGGAAGAUAGUACGGCUUGUAGGAAGAUUGGUAUAUUUCAGCAGCAGAAACUUCUUCCAUAUGACCUAACGACAAAAACCCAUCGAUAAACAUUAUAACUAUCAAGAAGUCUUUCAUGCGUUUUUUGAAAAAACUCUCCUGCACGAUGCUCAUGGAUUGAUACACGGAGAAAACUUACCACAUAGAAUUAAGCGGAUGGCACCUUAAUUUAAGAGGAUUUCUGCAUGGUUUUUUGCUAAGAUGACUUUCACAUUAAAUUAAGGUGACAUCACCUUAAAUUAAGGUGACAAGUCACAUUAAUUUCUUGAAUGCGUAAAUUAAAAACAAAAAAACUUUCAGCCACCGGGGAUCGAACCUACAACUGUUGGCUUACUAGGACAGUGCCUUACCACUGUGCUAUCUCAAUGUUGGAAAUGAAUGAACAUUCACAUUAAAAUAAAAUGAAGUUCACAUUAAAUUUAACUGAGUUUAAGUGGAAUCAGCUUAUUUUAAGCGGAUAUCACCUUAUUUUAAGGUUAUAUCAGAAUUUUCCACUAAAAAGAUAAAAUUGUUGUGAAUGAUCCAGCUGCUUACAUUAAGUCUUGAUACCUUUAUUAAAACUAGGAGAAUUUUGUGCAGUCUUUUCUGCAACAACGACCCAAAAACAGUUUUAGUAACCCCGGCGAUUGUGUUACUAGAUGGUUCGGUUAUAAUAUUGAAAACCUUACCUGCUAGAAGCUGGUUUAUUAAAAUAAAGAUCAGCGAGCUCAACAGACACAAGAUUUUCUAAAUCGAUAUUGUUCAGUAAAGACUCUGGCAACAACAAUGUAUAAUUCGAUAGAAUAUAACAAUCUACGUCAAAAUAAAAACUAUUGAACUAAAUCGAGAAAUAAGAAUAAGAAGGUUCGAUGGUGAAAAUAAAUCAAUAAAUUUAGUCAUUGAAGUAGUAAUAGAGAAUCUUUUAAAAAUCAAUAAUGCAGGCCUGAAUUAUUAUUCAUGUUGAAAGCGAUAGAAACUGAUGCUGAUGGUGACGAGAGGGUGCUACAAAAUACAACUGUAUUAAUAGCGAGGAUUCUGACAAAGGGGAUCUUUCUUCUUUAAUGCAAACUUUUAAAAAAAUUAUAACUCGUAAUAAAAAUCUCGUGAAUGGUUAUGGUUUUCAAAAUUUUAGUCUUGAGAUUUAUUCGCUUUAUCCAAAAAAAAAAAAAAAUAAAUUACAGACUAAAAUAAAAAUAAAUGAAAAUGUACAAUGUGUGUUCGUCCAAUACAAAUUGGAAAUUAUACUACGAAAAUAUGUUACGUUAGGGUGGUCGUUAUUUAAAAUAAAAUUGAAUUUGUAUGCUCCCAAAUAAAUAAAAAUAAAUUUUCCCCAAGAAUCAAGACUUUAUCCUAUUUCUAACCCGUGCCUCCAAGAAGUUGAAGUUUCUUAUGGAAACAACAUAAUAAAACAAAAUAAAUUCCAGCCAAACUAUUUGUUUUAAAAAUUUGAAACUUUAAAGACUUAAACCUUAUAGGUUGAAGUUAUCGUCUGUUUUUUUUCAGAUUUUUAGUUGUUAUAAUUUCGGAGAUUCAGCUUGGUAAAGAAACCCAUUUUUAUUUCAGAAAAUAAAAAGAAGAAAAACAGCAUUAGAUGAAUUAUUAAAAUUAAAAUUAAAUGAAAUUAUGUUUUAUAUCUUUCAGACGACAACGUUUAACUAGUUUUGAGCGGUGAAGAAAAUAUAAUAAAACAGAUAGUUUUUUGAAUCAAGAGAUUUGCUUUAAAGUGGCAUUCAAUCAUUAGCGCAUAUUUUUGCAUAUUUUGGUAUAAAUGCAUAUUCUGGCUUACUGACCAUAUUUUCACAAUAAAUGCAUAUUUUUCGAGCAUAUUUUAAGAAAAAUAAACUUUAAAAACCUUAAACUAAUUUCUCUGAAAAAGAAUACUGUUGAGAACUUGGCAGCACUAUGCACAAUUCCAGAUGACUUUCAUAAGUUCAAACUAUGGGUUUCUCAGUGAGACUAUAGUAAAACUAGAGGGUUAGAACUCGCUUAAUAAACAAGUAAGUUUGAUGGAGGAAGCAAUUUCGAAAAUAAAUGCAGUAGAGUCUUCAAUGGGUCAGUCCAUUUGUAAAAAAAUAGAAAAUGUUCUUAA